UGNGGGGCUGGACUUGGUAUGAUCAUUGAAG
This 31-nucleotide non-coding RNA is filed under the name Mus musculus (house mouse). Lineage: Eukaryota; Metazoa; Chordata; Mammalia; Rodentia; Muridae. The record is from RNAcentral.